UACGUAGGGUGCGAGCGUUAAUCGGAAUUACUGGGCGUAAAGGGUGCGCAGGCGGCGUCGCAAGUCAGGCGUGAAAUCCCCGGGCUUAACCUGGGAACUGCACUUGAAACUACGAUGCUGGAGUAUGGCAGAGGGAGGUGGAAUUCCACGUGUAGCGGUGAAAUGCGUAGAGAUGUGGAGGAACACCGAUGGCGAAGGCAGCCUCCUGGGCCAAUACUGACGCUCAUGCACGAAAGCGUGGGGAGCAAACAGG
Molecule: ribosomal RNA, 253 nt
Filed under: uncultured bacterium
Lineage: Bacteria
Also listed under: 2 other names
Description: partial 16S ribosomal RNA
Rfam family: Bacterial small subunit ribosomal RNA
Source: RNAcentral